This 30-nucleotide non-coding RNA is filed under the name Rattus norvegicus (Norway rat). Lineage: Eukaryota; Metazoa; Chordata; Mammalia; Rodentia; Muridae. The record is from RNAcentral.
AGCAGUUUGAUUUAACUGAGGAGGCUGAGA